This 451-nucleotide ribosomal RNA is filed under the name Pseudoramibacter alactolyticus. Its description in RNAcentral is "bacterial SSU rRNA". It matches the Rfam family "Bacterial small subunit ribosomal RNA", at positions 28 to 477 of the family's 1533-position model. The record is from RNAcentral. Lineage: Bacteria; Bacillati; Bacillota; Clostridia; Eubacteriales; Eubacteriaceae.
GACGAACGCUGGCGGUAUGCUUAACACAUGCAAGUCGAACGAGAAGUCUUUUAUUGAACCUUCGGGGGAUAUAAGAGACAGACAGUGGCGAACGGGUGAGUAACGCGUGGGCAACCUACCUAUCGGAGCGGGAUAGCCUCGAGAAAUCGGGAGUAAAACCGCAUAACACGGAUAUAUCGCAUGAUGAAUCCGUCAAAACUCCGGUGCCGAUAGAUGGGCCCGCGUCUGAUUAGCUAGUUGGUAAGGUAAGGGCUUACCAAGGCAACGAUCAGUAGCCGGUCUGAGAGGGCGAACGGCCACACUGGAACUGAGACACGGUCCAGACUCCUACGGGAGGCAGCAGUGGGGAAUAUUGCGCAAUGGGGGCAACCCUGACGCAGCAAUACCGCGUGAGUGAAGAAGGUUUUCGGAUCGUAAAGCUCUGUUAUUGGGGAAGAAAGCAGUGACGGUA